RNAcentral lists this ribosomal RNA (253 nucleotides) under uncultured bacterium. RNAcentral's name for it is "partial 16S ribosomal RNA". It matches the Rfam family "Bacterial small subunit ribosomal RNA", at positions 524 to 776 of the family's 1533-position model. The record is from RNAcentral.
UACAGAGGUCUCAAGCGUUGUUCGGAUUCAUUGGGCGUAAAGGGUGCGCAGGCGGCUCGGUAAGUCGGGGGUGAAAUCUCGGAGCUUAACUCCGAAACUGCAUUCGAUACUGCCGUGCUUGAGGACUGGAGAGGAGACUGGAAUUUACGGUGUAGCGGUGAAAUGCGCAGAUAUCAGGAAGAACACCCGUGGCGAAGGCGGCUCUCUGGGACGGUACUGACGCUGAGACGCGAAAGCGUGGGGAGCGAACAGG